RNAcentral lists this ribosomal RNA (982 nucleotides) under human gut metagenome. RNAcentral describes it as "bacterial LSU rRNA". It matches the Rfam family "Bacterial large subunit ribosomal RNA", at positions 1945 to 2925 of the family's 2925-position model. The record is from RNAcentral.
ACGGUCCUAAGGUAGCGAAAUUCCUUGUCAGGUAAGUUCUGACCCGCACGAAAGGCGUAACGAUUUGGGCGCUGUCUCAGCUGUAGACUCGGUGAAGUCUUAGUACCUGUGAAGAUGCAGGUUACCCGCGACUAGACGGAAAGACCCCAUGGAGCUUCACUGCAGGUUGAUAUUGGGAUUUGAUGCAGCAUGUACAGGAUAGGUAGGAGGCAAAGAGAUGGAUACGCCAGUAUUCAAGGAGCCGCUGUUGGGAUACUACCCCUGUUGUAUUGGAUUUCUAACCGGACGACGUAAAGCCGUUGACGGGACAGUGUCAGUCGGGCAGUUUGACUGGGGCGGUCGCCUCCCAAAGAGUAACGGAGGCGCCCAAAGAUACCCUCAGCUUGGAUGGAAACCAAGCGCAGAGUGCAAAGGCAAAAGGGUGUUUGACUGCGAGACCUACAAGUCGAGCAGGGACGAAAGUCGGGCUUAGUGAUCCGGCGGUGCUGAAUGGAAAGGCCGUCGCUCAACGGAUAAAAGCUACCCUGGGGAUAACAGGCUGAUCUCCCCCAAGAGUCCACAUCGACGGGGAGGUUUGGCACCUCGAUGUCGGCUCAUCGCAUCCUGGGGCUGUAUUCGGUCCCAAGGGUUUGGCUGUUCGCCAAUUAAAGCGGUACGCGAGCUGGGUUCAGAACGUCGUGAGACAGUUCGGUCCCUAUCUGUCGUGGGCGUAGGAUAUUUGCAAGGAGCUGUCCCUAGUACGAGAGGACCGGGAUGGACGCACCUCUGGUGCACCAGUUGUCACGCCAGUGGCACAGCUGGGCAGCUAUGUGCGGAACGGAUAAACGCUGAAGGCAUCUAAGCGUGAAGCCGCCCUUAAGAUAAGAUAUCCCUUCUGUUUACAGAGUAAGACCCCUUGAAGACUACAAGGUUGAUAGGCUCAAAGUGUAAGCACGGUGACGUGUUUAGCUAGCGAGUACUAAUCGGUCGAGGGCUUAACCUU